This 499-nucleotide ribosomal RNA is filed under the name uncultured bacterium. RNAcentral's name for it is "partial 16S ribosomal RNA". It matches the Rfam family "Bacterial small subunit ribosomal RNA", at positions 28 to 507 of the family's 1533-position model. The record is from RNAcentral.
GAUGAACGCUGGCGGCGUGCCUAAUACAUGCAAGUCGAGCGAACAGACGAGAGUGCUUGCACUCUCUGACGUGAGCGGCGGACGGGUGAGUAACACAUGGGUAACCUACCUAUAAGACUGGGAUAACUUCGGGAAACCUGAGCUAAUACCUGAUAAUAUUUAGCUUCGCAUGAAGCAAUAGUGAAAGACGGUUCUGCUGUCACUUAUAGAUGGACCCGCGGUGUAUUAGCUAGUUGGUGAGGUAACGGCUCACCAAGGCAACGAUACAUAGCCGACCUGAGAGGGUGAUCGGCCACACUGGGACUGAGACACGGCACAGACUCCUACGGGAGGACGCAGUAGGGAAUCUUCCGCAAUGGACGAAAGUCUGACGGAGCAAUGCCGCGUGAGUGAAGAAGGUUUUCGGAUCGUAAAACUCUGUUGUAAGGGAAGAACAAGUACGUUAGUAACUGAACGUACCUUGACGGUACCUUACCAGAAAGCCACGGCUAACUACGUG